This 72-nucleotide transfer RNA is filed under the name Bacteroides xylanisolvens. RNAcentral's name for it is "tRNA-Gly". It matches the Rfam family "tRNA". Rfam says of the family: Transfer RNA (tRNA) molecules are approximately 80 nucleotides in length. Their secondary structure includes four short double-helical elements and three loops (D, anti-codon, and T loops). Lineage: Bacteria; Pseudomonadati; Bacteroidota; Bacteroidia; Bacteroidales; Bacteroidaceae. RNAcentral also lists the same sequence under 1 other name. The record is from RNAcentral.
GCGGAAAUAGCUCAGUUGGUAGAGCAUAACCUUGCCAAGGUUAGGUCGCGAGUUCGAGUCUCGUUUUCCGCU